RNAcentral lists this ribosomal RNA (445 nucleotides) under uncultured bacterium. Its description in RNAcentral is "bacterial SSU rRNA". It matches the Rfam family "Bacterial small subunit ribosomal RNA", at positions 335 to 802 of the family's 1533-position model. The record is from RNAcentral.
ACUCCUACGGGAGGCAGCAGUGGGGAAUAUUGCACAAUGGAGGAAACUCUGAUGCAGCAACGCCGCGUGGAGGAUGACACUUUCGGAGCGUAAACUCCUUUAUAUAGGAAGAUAAUGACGGUACUAUAUGAAUAAGCACCGGCUAACUCCGUGCCAGCAGCCGCGGUAAUACGGAGGUGCAAGCGUUACUCGGAAUCACUGGGCGUAAAGAGCGUGUAGGCGGGUUAUUAAGUCAGAAGUGAAAUCCUAUGGCUCAACCAUAGAACUGCUUUUGAAACUGGUAACCUAGAGUAUGGGAGAGGUAGAUGGAAUUUCUGGUGUAGGGUAAAAUCCGUAGAGAUCAGAAGGAAUACCGAUUGCGAAGGCGAUCUACUGGAACAUUACUGACGCUGAGACGCGAAAAGCGUGGGGAGCAAACAGGAUUAGAUACCCUGGUAGACUGUCA